Molecule: ribosomal RNA, 480 nt
Filed under: uncultured bacterium
Lineage: Bacteria
Description: partial 16S ribosomal RNA
Rfam family: Bacterial small subunit ribosomal RNA
Source: RNAcentral
GAUGAACGCUGGCGGCGUGCUUAACACAUGCAAGUCGAACGAAGCACUUUAUUUGAUUUCCUUCGGGACUGAUUAUUUUGUGACUGAGUGGCGGACGGGUGAGUAACGCGUGGGUAACCUGCCUUGUACAGGGGGAUAACAGUUGGAAACGGCUGCUAAUACCGCAUAAGCGCACGGCAUCGCAUGAUGCAGUGUGAAAAACUCCGGUGGUAUAAGAUGGACCCGCGUUGGAUUAGCUAGUUGGUGAGGUAACGGCCCACCAAGGCGACGAUCCAUAGCCGACCUGGGAGGGGGACCGGCCAAAUUGGGACUGAGACCCGGCCCAAACCCCGACGGGGGGCAGCAGUGGGGAAUAUUGCAAAAUGGGCGAAAGCCUGAUGCAGCGACGCCGGGUGAGCGAAAAAGUAUUUCGGUAUGAAAAGCUCUAACAGCAGGGAAGAAAAUGAAUGGACCUGACUAAGAAGCCCCGGCUAAAUCCGG